CUAGCUUCCCAUUCCCUGAGGAUGCUUGCUGCGUGCACAGCGGACUCGGGGAGUGCUGCCCUGUGGGUGCCAUGCCUGUGGCUAUGCCUUCCUGAGGCAGGAGCGGGGAGCACAGGGGGCUGAGGAGCUGCCCGGGGCCGGGCACCCUGCAGUCAGCCCAGGGCCCGUCUUGCUGCAGCCGGCUCGUUCCUCAGGAGCUGUAAUCCCUUCCUUUGACUCUCCCCCAGCUGGACUGCCCCAGUUUCAAACACUACAGAUAGAAGUCUUGGCCCUCACCAGUCGUCAAAUUGCAGAAAUCCCUGUGUUCCUUUGGGAAGUCGGUUGGGGAUGAGUGAAGUGGCCCUCUGGGAAAUCCCUGCAGAACAUUGUGGUGUUGCAGGCAACACAGGAAAUUGAGGAAAUAUUCAGAUAAGUUGGAAGUGGUCUUGCUGCACAAGGAUGAGAAAUUGCCCACGUGGUUCUGUGACAUUGUUCUUCAGCUGCAGUUCUUGGGAGAUCGCCGCAAUUGUUAACAUCCAAACAAAAACAGUCUAAUGAAAGUAUUUUAAUCUGCUGAUCAGCUAUUCAGAGCAAAAGGGAUAGCCAUGCUAGGUGUCUGUGGAGUGUGGAAAUUAAUGCAGCAAUGAGCAGGUAUCAACAAGGAUGAAACCUCCUCUAUGAACUGUGAAGCUGAUAGGACAUCUGAUCUUCCUCCUUGGCACCACGGGGAUUUGACCAGAUAACCUAAAGCUUGUUGCUGGGGAGCAGCAGUAGCAGACUGUCAUCAACAAGCAUUUAUUAGAGUUUGAAGAUUGAAGGAGAUUUGUCUCAGGUGUCACGGUAAACACAGGAAGAAGGACGAGGAGAAGUGGAUGUGGUUGGCUACAGAUCUUUAAAGAGAGGAUGUGAUCCAGCCUUGAGACAGUUUUCAGCUGCAACAAAUGGCAUUGCUUGUGAUUGUAUCUAUUGUGGAUGAGGCAAAUAACUGCAGGGCCUGAGUAAUAGCUUCAACUGGGUGAAUUAUAUUUGAGGAAUGGAAGUAUCAUGGAAUCACAGAACAUCCUGAGUUGGAAGGGACCCACAAGGAUCAUCAAGUCCAACUCCCGGCUCCACACAGGACUACACAGAAAUAAAACGGUAUGUCUGAGAAUGAAUACUGUGCCAGUCAUUCUGAAAUUAUUCACUUACUGUGGUCAAUUAAUGCUCUUGAAUAUUCUGGAUAUGGAAGAAAAAUUCCAGGAGAAGAUCCCAUUAAAUUUCAGGGAGCUGUUUUUUUCUUGGCUCUUUGAAAAAAUGAAGUUAACUAGAAUACUUAUGUGGAAUAUGAAGAAGCCAGGUUUGGCUCAUUUUCUUUAGACCAGGAAAUCAAAUUGUUCCUGUUUCACCAGUCAGAGUGUCUGAAACAUCUGGCUGUUGGUUAUCCUGGUGAGGUGAGGGCUCGCUGGGGUCUCUCCUGGUUGGUACACAACUCUCACAACUGAAUUCCACUCGUGCAAGAGCUGGUGCCCUAACAGACGUCACAGUGGUACAACUGGUCAAACAUACCGAUACCUUCUAUGAAAUGUCAGUCCAGGGGUAUCUUUGUGGUUGUUGUAAGGGCAAGAAAAAUAUGCAGCAAGAAGUUCUCGUUCUUCUCCUUCCCUUGGCUGUUCCUGCCCCUCUGCUCCUGCCGCUGCUGACUGUCACAGGGGUUCAGGAUCAGCCCCUUGGUCUGGCAGUGAAGAGCCCUGGUCUGCAUUGUGUCCCUGACAACAAAAAG
Long non-coding RNA from Cygnus olor (mute swan), 1738 nucleotides. RefSeq lists it as uncharacterized. NCBI's taxonomy places the organism in Eukaryota, Metazoa, Chordata, Aves, Anseriformes, Anatidae. The transcript has 8 exons. The record is from RefSeq and is a predicted model, not a curated record.